UAUUGCACAAUGGGGGAAACCCUGAUGCAGCGACGCCGCGUGAGCGAAGAAGUAUUUCGGUANGUAAAGCUCUAUCAGCAGGGAANNCGNNNANGGUACCUGACUAAGAAGCUCCGGCUAAAUACGUGCCNNNANCCGCGGUAAUACGUAUGGAGCAAGCGUUAUCCGGAUUUACUGGGUGUAAAGGGAGCGUAGGCGGCCUGGCAAGUCUGGUGUGAAAUACCGGGGCCCAACCCCGGGACUGCAUUGGAAACUGCCAGGCUGGAGUGUCGGAGGGGCAGGCGGAAUUCCUAGUGUAGCGGUGAAGUGCGUAGAUAUUAGGAGAAGCACCGGUGGCGAAGGCGGCCUGCUGGACGACAACUGACGCUGAGGCUCGAAAGCGUGGGGAGCAAACAGG
RNAcentral lists this ribosomal RNA (397 nucleotides) under uncultured bacterium. Its description in RNAcentral is "partial 16S ribosomal RNA". It matches the Rfam family "Bacterial small subunit ribosomal RNA", at positions 362 to 776 of the family's 1533-position model. The record is from RNAcentral.